GUGGGAAGCCACAUGUACCGUUGCUGAGUGGCACUGACUACUGCUGGCCACCACGCAUAAGUUUGGACAAACAACCAAUGUGUACAUAUGCAGUAAAGUUUUUUGCAAAGACACUGCCUGGCCCGGGCAUGAUAAUGAGGUUCUGUAAGGUACUGAGAGUAUAACCAAUCAGAUGUGAGACAUGCAAAUGAGGUAUGAUAAUGAGGUUCUGUAAGGUACUGAGAGAGAGUAACCAAUCAGAUGUGAGACAUGCAAAUGAGGUAUGAUAAUGAGGCUCUGUGAGGUACAGAGAGAGAGAGAGUAGCCAAUCAGAUGAGGAACAUGCAAUGAGGCGUAGUGCAUAACCAAUCCGGGUGUGAGACAUGCCUCUCCUAGGCCUAUAAAAGCAGCACCAGUUCUGGGCUCGGGGUCUUUCGCCUCUACAAUCAAGCUCUCCCAAUAAACGUGUGCAGAAGGAUCCUGUUGCAGCGUCGUUCUUCCUGGCCAGUCAGCGCGCACAAGAAGAGACGAAAGAGGGAAAGGUGAUCGUGAACAAACACAGGGGCAGGACAGUUCCCCGAGGAAGCAGUCAUAAAACACAAAACACAGAUGACGAAGUCCUGAAAACUAAGGUGCGGAGCAGAAGCGAGCAGCAUCACUGCGAGAGCAUAAACCGUCAGAGUGGUCUGCGAAGUGCACUUCAUGCUGUCGAACACUCUAGAAAUGACGUGUCUGAAACCAUCAGGAAAUUUCAAGCACAGGAGAUUUUACAAGGGGGCAAAUGAAAGCACUCAGAGGGGAGGUCCUAAAGAAGUUAGAAGUGGUAUGUUUACAGGGAUUUUAUAGGGGUUGCAAGAGUGCAUACUCCAUAGACUAACUUUUAUCCCUUCAAAGCACAAGUAAAUUUGGCCACAGAGCAUCUUCCCAGCAACAGUGACCUGUACCUCUCCUUGUUCCAAGUCCAUAUUGAUGUAAUCAAGAGAAGUUUACACUUUUGUAACUGUGAAGAAUUUCAGUUAUGCAUAAUAAAACACAGCACGGAGCUUAAGGCUUUUCA
Molecule: long non-coding RNA, 1036 nt
Filed under: Mus spicilegus (steppe mouse)
Lineage: Eukaryota; Metazoa; Chordata; Mammalia; Rodentia; Muridae
Description: lncRNA (ENSMSIG00000023456.1)
Source: RNAcentral